CGGCAUGUAGCGCAGUCUGGUAGCGCACCGUCAUGGGGUGUCGGGGGUCAGAGGUUCAAAUCCUCUCAUGCCGACCA
Molecule: transfer RNA, 77 nt
Filed under: Candidatus Doolittlea endobia
Lineage: Bacteria; Pseudomonadati; Pseudomonadota; Gammaproteobacteria; Enterobacterales; Enterobacteriaceae
Description: tRNA-Pro
Rfam family: tRNA
About the family: Transfer RNA (tRNA) molecules are approximately 80 nucleotides in length.
Source: RNAcentral